RNAcentral lists this ribosomal RNA (253 nucleotides) under uncultured bacterium. RNAcentral describes it as "partial 16S ribosomal RNA". It matches the Rfam family "Bacterial small subunit ribosomal RNA", at positions 524 to 776 of the family's 1533-position model. The record is from RNAcentral.
UACGUAGGGCGCGAGCGUUGUCCGGAUUUAUUGGGCGUAAAGAGCUCGUAGGCGGCUCAUUGCGUCAACCGUGAAAACCAGCAGCUCAACUGUUGGCUUGCGGUUGAUACGGGUGGGCUGGAGUUCGGUAGGGGAGACUGGAAUUCCUGGUGUAGCGGUGAAAUGCGCAGAUAUCAGGAGGAACACCGGUGGCGAAGGCGGGUCUCUGGGCCGAUACUGACGCUGAGGCGCGAAAGCGUGGGGAGCAAACAGG